Piliocolobus tephrosceles (Ugandan red Colobus) is the source of this 413-nucleotide RNA transcript. It is a transcript of the gene named NADH dehydrogenase [ubiquinone] 1 beta subcomplex subunit 7 pseudogene, with no coding region annotated. NCBI's taxonomy places the organism in Eukaryota, Metazoa, Chordata, Mammalia, Primates, Cercopithecidae. The transcript has a single exon. The record is from RefSeq and is a predicted model, not a curated record.
AUGGGGGCGCACCUGGUCCGGCGCUACUUGGGCGAUGCCUCGGUGGAGCCCGACCCCUUGCAGAUGCCAACCUUCCCGCCCGACUACGGCUUCCCUGAACGCAAGGAGCGCGAGAUGGUGGCCACACAGCAGGAGAUGAUGGACGCGCAGCUGAGGCUCCGGCUGCGGGACUCCUGUGCCCACCACCUCAUCCGGCUGCUCAAGUGCAAGCGCAACAGCUUCCCCAACUUCCUGGCCUGCAAGCAGGAGCGGCACGACUGGCACUACUGCGAGCACUGCGACUAUGUGAUGCGCAUGAAGGAGUUUGAGCGGAGCGGAGGCUGCUCCAGCAAAAGAAGCGGCAGGAGAAGAAGGCGGCAGAGUUGGCCAAAGGCCAGGGACCCGGGAAAGUGGACCCCCAGGUGGCCCUGUAG